Amphiprion ocellaris (clown anemonefish) is the source of this 1175-nucleotide long non-coding RNA. NCBI's taxonomy places the organism in Eukaryota, Metazoa, Chordata, Actinopteri, Pomacentridae. The record is from Ensembl.
GUUCAGGAAACUACAUACUGAAUCACUGCUGUGAUCAUUUCUCCCCUUUUUCAGUCAGUGAGACUCACAGGAUCCAGCAGCAGAACUUCAGAGAACAUGUUGGUCCUGAAGCUGAUCUGAUGGCACUGACUGCAUGAUGCUCAAGUUUUUAUAUCAGUUUGAGGGAGUUCACUUUGCAUGAAAAGAAGUCUGACGGGCUGUAAAAGGAUUAUCACCUGUCUUUUUCUGGUUUUAUUUUUAUAUUAAGGUCUCUGGCUGGGCGGAGCCUGUAAUCUCCUGACCUGGUACACCUGGCGAGUGUACCUGGCUAUAUAAGCCAACCUGCUGAGCCAGAGCUCCUUCUCUCUGCUCUGCUCUCUCCAUUCCACCUCACAAUGAGCCACCCAUGCUGUCCUUUGUUGUGUUUUGUUCUUUUUUACACUGACAACAUGCACCCUCACACACUACUGAUGCUACAACCGCACCUCAUUAUCAUGUUUUUCUUAAUAAAUAAUCUUUUGUUGCAGCCUAAGGGCCAGUUGUAACAAACUGGACUCUCGUCCGUUGUGAGGUAUGGCCUGCUGUUUGGUAUGCUUCUUUCUCUGGGGGUAAGUUUUGUAAGAAACCUAAUUUGAAUUGAGCACUUUGUGAGCACAGCAGCAUGGACUGUUGCAGUUUGUGGACUGUGGACAGGUAAAUUCAGCAUAAUGAUACAUGUGAGUAUCUCUUUUGUCUCAGCUUUUGGGAAACCUUAGAAAGUUAUUUGAUUGUGCUCUUGGAAUUGUGCUUUGAGGUGUUUGUGUUUCAGUGCAGGUUUUCUUGUUGGCGGCUGAGGAGACUGUUUGAGUGUCCUUUGAUAGUUUUGGAUCACAGGCAUAAAGAGGUAAGUGUUGAGUCAGGUGUGUAUAAUUGUAGAAGAGGUUCCUUUGCUAGGUUUAGCAGCGUUUCUCCUUUGGGUUUUUCUGAGGGGGUGACUUGUAGUGUUGAGCUACGGUGGUUGGAGCAUCCCUUUUCCCUUCCCUAAAGCUGCUCAGGAGCACAUCGGUGGUUAUGGGAGGGUUGUCAGUUUUCUGGUCGCCUUUCUCAAGCCAGCAGGCUGUUGGUGCUUAAAUACCCAUCGCCAGGCCUCAUGAAGACUAGGGUGAGUUAAUUAGCAGUUUGAUAGAAGGGAACUUUCCUUUGUAGUGGCUGUUUAG